Molecule: long non-coding RNA, 221 nt
Filed under: Populus tremula
Lineage: Eukaryota; Viridiplantae; Streptophyta; Magnoliopsida; Malpighiales; Salicaceae
Description: long non-coding RNA (PTRE_LNC001386)
Source: RNAcentral
CUUUCGAAUUUAUCUUAUCGUCGUGGAUUAGCAUCUCACGGUUCUUUGAUAGGCAUAAAGAAAUCGUUUUGGUAGCAACCACCAAACCAAUAGAACAAGGGUUAGCUCUGCAGCUGGUCCAUAAGCAAGGUAAGUAGAUCCAUUACCGGCCGGCUCCGGACCGUCAAAGACCUAACGGAGUAACCCCUUAUUUAUCUCGGAUCGGAGAUGCUAACGGGGCU